Gossypium hirsutum (cotton) is the source of this 138-nucleotide non-coding RNA. The record is from Rfam. NCBI's taxonomy places the organism in Eukaryota, Viridiplantae, Streptophyta, Magnoliopsida, Malvales, Malvaceae.
UAUUAAAAUUUCAUCAAUUUGUAUUAUUAAAAGGUUGACAUGGUUGGCAGAAUAACUAGAUAGUGAUAUGUCACAUGUACUUUUUGUUGACGUACAUGGAUCGAUUUUUAACAGCAGAAAUGGAUGAAUUUUUUAACA